UCUGACAGCCGUUCUAAUGAA
This 21-nucleotide non-coding RNA is filed under the name Caenorhabditis elegans. Lineage: Eukaryota; Metazoa; Nematoda; Chromadorea; Rhabditida; Rhabditidae. The record is from RNAcentral.